Molecule: unclassified non-coding RNA, 296 nt
Filed under: uncultured fungus
Lineage: Eukaryota; Fungi
Description: sequence contains ITS2
Source: RNAcentral
AACGCACCUUGCACCUUUUGGUAUUCCGAAAGGUACACCCGUUUGAGUGUCAUUGUAAUCUCACUCCACCAGCAUUUUGUUGAUGGAUGUGGACCUGGACUUUGUUGUGUUACUACAACUGGUCUGAAAUGCAUGAGUGCACCCUGCUGUUGCAGCGUUUUCAGUGUGAUAAGCAUCUUCACUGGAUCAAGUUCCCUUGGGACACGCAGGCAUUGUGGGCUCUGUGCUGGCAAACUGUCUUUGGACAACUUUGACAAUUUGACCUCAGAUCGGGUGGGACUACCCGCUGAACUUAA